UCCUUCCUGCGCGGGCUGUUGGAGGCGCUGCGCCGGCAUGGUGUGCGCGUUCCUGCUGGAGAUCCGGCGGGGGACGCAGAGCGCUUUGCUCGUUAUCCGCGAGGCGAGCUUGCGGAACCUGCCGGCCGACAUCUCGGUGGCUCCGGGCCGGCUGGAAGUGAGGAGCAGCUCCGCCUGCGGGGUGGCUGCGUUGCCGCCAGGGGUCAGCCUGGCUCCGUCCUCCUGUCGCGGGCUGCGGCGCCUGCACGGAGAUGGCCUGCACCUGCACCUGCGGCUGCGCGAUGUGCCCCGCGCCCCGGAAUCGGUUUAUAAUCUGAGGGAAAGCCUGAAACCACAGAAGAGUUACAUCUUUUACUGCCAGUCCUGUGGUGACAUCAUAGUAAAAGAAAGGAAAUUUUUCAGAGUUCUUCCUCUACCAAGUGAAAACUGGAGUGCUUUAGUAGAAGAGUGGUGUUGUCACCCUAAUCCCUUUGCAAGAAGCACUUUACACCCUCAGCAUGAUGACUGUUUUCUUGGAGAGACUUUUCUCCUGUUGAAUUCAAGAAAUGAAUCAUAUGUGCCUGAAUCUCUCAAGUGCAGCUCAGAGACUGAACAUCAUCACACUUCUCAGAAUGACUCUACCUUGAAAUCAAAGGAAAAUACCAGAGUAAUUUGUGAGCGCUGCAAGACAACACUGGGAGAAACAGUAUCAUCAGAUACUGUUAAAUACUAUGUGACUGAGGUGAUUGUUUGGCCAUCUGAGGAAAGCUUCAGUACAAUACCAAGGUCUCAAUUCAUACAGAGUAUGGUUGCUCAGUGUCUUGUGGAAUUGUCCUCUGCUAAAAGCACAUUUAGAUUCACCAUAAAAGGUGACAAUGGAAGGAUCUAUAUUCUGAUAUGGCUUUUAAAUUCUGACACAUUGCUGGUGGAGUCCUCAGGAAGUUCCUCCUCCCACAGUGUAUUUACACUGUUUGGCGAUAAUUUCAUGCCAAGCUGUGGAACAUCAGGGAUGUGGAGUGCUGUCAAAGUUCUCUACCAGCCAUGCAUUAAUAACAGGAAUAAAGACCUUGCUGAUGCCUGGGAAAAUGAUUUUGGAGUUCAUCCUUUAAAGUUUCCAUCAGAAACAUGUCUGGAAUUACUUCUGAUGCUGAGUUUGAGUACUGCUUCUUUACCCCCUUCAAUUCAGCGCAUGAACUCUUUUCAGUUUUUACCUUCUGAAAAGCAUGGACUCCUCACCAUUUAGAGCAAAUAGCAGAGAUCUUUGGAGAGAGCAAAUGCCAUUGCUUGGAGAUCUGGGAAGGCUGGCAUGAGAAUCUGAUGAAAAGACCAUCAUUAUCCCAGUUUUUGUGAUCAGAUUUACAGCAGUUUACAGCAAGGACCACUUGGAACUCUCAUAUGUCAUCCAGUGUAGUCCCUUGCUAUUGCAGGUUGCCUUUCUGAAGCUGUGAAGAUCUCAGUUACCUAUGUAGAAAACUCUUCUCAAAUUCCCUUCCAUCAGACAUAUACAGAAACCUUCCAAUGGUGUGACACCUGAAAGAAAAUCUCCUGGCAGUACAAAGCAGGAUGAGCUAUGGCACACAUUAUUCUUUCUAUCUGGAAGAGAUUCACAGCCAAAGACGGAGUUAGCUUUUACAUCCAGUACAUUCUUAGAUGUUGUUGUAAGAGUGACUGCUCACAUCAAGCUGGACUAAGUUGUAUGUAGUCAAUACUACCUUUGUCAGACAGUAUUGGGAGUCCUAAAAAGACAGGCAGCAAAGAAGGGAUCUAAAAUAUUUAAUGUUAUGGAUGCUGAAGUGUUCUGUUCUUUCUUUGCUCUAAUAAACUUAGAAGGCCGACUUUAAAAUACAUGUUUAACAAUAACUA
Tympanuchus pallidicinctus (lesser prairie-chicken) is the source of this 1842-nucleotide RNA transcript. It is a transcript of the gene named ubiquitin protein ligase E3D, with no coding region annotated. The transcript has 12 exons. NCBI's taxonomy places the organism in Eukaryota, Metazoa, Chordata, Aves, Galliformes, Phasianidae. The record is from RefSeq and is a predicted model, not a curated record.